RNAcentral lists this ribosomal RNA (253 nucleotides) under uncultured prokaryote. Its description in RNAcentral is "partial 16S ribosomal RNA". It matches the Rfam family "Bacterial small subunit ribosomal RNA", at positions 525 to 777 of the family's 1533-position model. The record is from RNAcentral.
ACGUAGGUGGCAAGCGUUGUCCGGAUUUACUGGGCGUAAAGAGCGCGCAGGCGGUCGUUUAAGUCGAAUGUGAAAGCCCACGGCUCAACCGUGGAGGGUCAUUGGAAACUGGGGGACUUGAGUGCAGAAGAGGAAAGCGGAAUUCCACGUGUAGCGGUGAAAUGCGUAGAGAUGUGGAGGAACACCAGUGGCGAAGGCGGCUUUCUGGUCUGUAACUGACGCUGAGGCGCGAAAGCGUGGGGAGCAAACAGGA